UUAUUCUAUUUCUUAUAUAAAUUAUUUUAUUUUGAUAAGAUUCAAAUAUUCCUUAUAAGAAAAUAGUUUUGCCAAUUAUUUUUUUUAAAACAAUAGCAUUAUUAGACGUUGUUCAAAAUAUCUGAUAGUUAUUAGUUUUUGAUUUGUUCGAACGUUCCAUUGACAAAUGAGUGGUCAGAAAACUUUCUUGUUAUACGAAUACUAGAUUAUUUAAAAGAUGUUUUAAAAUAAGUCUGUUUAUACAAGAUAAAAUGCUUUAGUCAUCAUGGUCAACGACGUAUCAGUCUUUACAUCGGUUUUGUGUUGGGGUCUGUAUCAGUUAUGUAUAUGACUGAUUUUGGUUUCCGUAUCAGUCUACGUUAAAGUUUCAGAUCGGUUCGUGCAUCAGUUUCAGUGUCAGUCUUGUGUCUGCAUCUGUUUUUAGUACUCGUGUCAGUGACCAUUUCAGUUCAGUCUCAGUUAUGUUGUGUUUUGCUUCCGCUGAUAUGACUUUACUUGUACUGUUGAUUUCUCCGUAAUAUGGGAUGAUCUGGGAUUUCAGUGAGGAGCGUUAGGAAGUCGCUGGUCAAGAUUCUUUAUUUCAGUAAUGUAAUAAAUGUAAUUAAGGGUUUUCUAUUUAAUGCUAUGGAUUAGCUUUUAGUUUUGAUAUCUGUAAGAGUGACACGUCAGCCCUAGCGGGGUUGGGGUGUUACAGUAAGCCUAUAAACUGGUUGUCUUGGCUCGUUUUUUAUGUGGAAAUGCUAUCUUAAGGGAUUAGUCCCACUCACAUUAUUCUUCUUGAAGUGAUUUGAGAAAGUGUAAGACUAAUAGUAAUUUUUCAAACUCAGGGUCGAAAAAGGAGAACGUUACAUAAAUCUAUGGCAAUAGGUACUUCAAGCAUCAAAAUCAGCCUUUCUGAACCCGAACAUACCGAAAUUGAAGCCAUGGAUGCGGUGAUUAAUCUUGCACUAAACCAAUGGUUCAUGUUUACAAUAGGUGCAUAACUACUAUUUGAUGUAAAACGUUGUUCAACAUUCAGACUUUAUUGUUUUGAACAAAUCUAAAGCCUUAUUUAUU
This 1056-nucleotide long non-coding RNA is filed under the name Helianthus annuus (common sunflower). RNAcentral's name for it is "hypothetical non coding rna". Lineage: Eukaryota; Viridiplantae; Streptophyta; Magnoliopsida; Asterales; Asteraceae. The record is from RNAcentral.